GCUAUCAUUAUUCAAAAGACACUCGGAGGUCAGUCGAAGCUUGUAGCCGUCCUCUCCCGGGCGUGACGGGCGACCGACAUCCUCCUCUUGAGAGGCGCAUGUCACAGUGCGGCACCGGUGGCAUUCGCUCCGGUUUCCUCGCAUCUGCGGCGGACCGUCUCUUGGGAAACUCAGUGGGGGCAAUUGGAUGGUCUGCGGGCGAUCCCUGCGCGGAGGCGUCAAAGCCGCCCCGGGGCAAGACCCAGGCCGGGUGCUCGGAUUUCGGGCACCCCAACCGUUUGACAAUUCUUCCCACUCCCGCGCGGAGUGCUCGGGACCUCACCUCUGUGUCCACGGAGGGGGGACCCCGGUCAAGAUAGUUACCUGGUUGAUUCUGCCAGUAGUCAUAUGCUUGUCUCAAAGAU
RNAcentral lists this unclassified non-coding RNA (404 nucleotides) under Ramalina ovalis. RNAcentral's name for it is "partial 28S-18S ribosomal RNA intergenic spacer". Lineage: Eukaryota; Fungi; Ascomycota; Lecanoromycetes; Lecanorales; Ramalinaceae. The record is from RNAcentral.